GAAUUCAACUCCUACGGGAGGCAGCAGUGGGGAAUUUUGGACAAUGGGGGCAACCCUGAUCCAGCAAUGCCGCGUGAGUGAAGAAGGCCUUCGGGUUGUAAAGCUCUUUUGUCAGGGAAGAAACGGUAGUAGCUAAUAUCUAUUACUAAUGACGGUACCUGAAGAAUAAGCACCGGCUAACUACGUGCCAGCAGCCGCGGUAAUACGUAGGGUGCAAGCGUUAAUCGGAAUUACUGGGCGUAAAGCGUGCGCAGGCGGUUGUGUAAGUCAGAUGUGAAAUCCCCGGGCUCAACCUGGGAAUUGCAUUUGAGACUGCACGGCUAGAGUGUGUCAGAGGGGGGUAGAAUUCCACGUGUAGCAGUGAAAUGCGUAGAUAUGUGGAGGAAUACCGAUGGCGAAGGCAGCCCCCUGGGAUAACACUGACGCUCAUGCACGAAAGCGUGGGGAGCAAACAGGAUUAGAAACCCUAGUAGUCCAGGCGUU
Molecule: ribosomal RNA, 483 nt
Filed under: uncultured bacterium
Lineage: Bacteria
Description: bacterial SSU rRNA
Rfam family: Bacterial small subunit ribosomal RNA
Source: RNAcentral